UACAGAGGGUGCAAGCGUUAUUCGGAAUUACUGGGCGUAAAGGGCGCGUAGGCGGCCCCGAAAGUCUGAUGUGAAAGCCCUGGACCCAAUCCAGGAAGUGCAUCGGAAACUGCGGGGCUCGAGUGCAGGAGAGGAGGACGGAAUUCCUGGUGUAGAGGUGAAAUUCGUAGAUAUCAGGAGAAACAACAGUGGCGAAGGCGGUUCUCUGGACUGUUACUGACGCUGAGGCGCGAAAGCGUGGGGAGCAAACAGG
This 253-nucleotide ribosomal RNA is filed under the name uncultured bacterium. RNAcentral describes it as "partial 16S ribosomal RNA". It matches the Rfam family "Bacterial small subunit ribosomal RNA", at positions 524 to 776 of the family's 1533-position model. The record is from RNAcentral.